This is an RNA transcript of Pseudomyrmex gracilis, 3383 nucleotides long. It is a transcript of the gene named heat shock factor protein-like, with no coding region annotated. Lineage: Eukaryota; Metazoa; Arthropoda; Insecta; Hymenoptera; Formicidae. The transcript has 13 exons. The record is from RefSeq and is a predicted model, not a curated record.
ACUGUGAUACGGCAUUACAGGAAAAAGUUAAAACGCUUGUGUCUGUCAUCCCCCCCCUGCUACCGAGAAGACCUGCAGCAGAACAACAUCAUCAGCGGUCAGCCAUUAUAAGCGAAGGAAAUGUGUAAAAGUUUCGUGUGAUACAACCGGCGAAAGUGUUGUUAGCCUUUCAAAGUUUGAAUAUAAAUUUUUUCUUUAAAAUGCAUACAAUACAAGAAUUGGGUACAAACGUACCGGCGUUUCUUGCUAAACUCUGGAGGCUGGUUGAAGAUCCAAAAAACAAGGAUCUCAUUUGUUGGUCACCCACUGGUAAAAGUUUUUUUAUCAGAAAUCAAGCAAAAUUUGCAAGCGAGUUAUUACCGUAUUAUUAUAAACAUAAUAAUAUGCCUAGUUUUGUGCGGCAGCUAAAUAUGUAUGGUUUUCACAAGAUAGUAUCGGUAGAAUUAGGUGGUUUAAAAUGUGACAAAGAUGAAAUGGAAUUUGCACAUCAGUAUUUUAUCAGAGGAAAUCCAGGUUUAUUAGAACACAUUAAAAGAAAAAUUGCAUCUAGCAAAACUCAAGAUGCUGCACAUUCUGGUAUUAAACCGGAACUAAUGAAUAAGAUGUUAACUGAAGUAAGGAAUAUGAAAGGUCGUCAAGAGGAUUUGGAUAGCAGGAUAGGUGCAAUAAAAAAUGAAAAUGAAGCCAUGUGGAGAGAAUUAGCAAUGCUGAGACAGAAACACAUAAAACAACAACAAAUUGUUAACAAACUCAUUCACUUCUUUGUUAGUAUGUGCCAAUCCUCAAGGUCAAGUGGUCUACAUCCUGUUAAAAGACAAUAUCCGAGAUUAAUGAUAGACGAUCUCAAACAUAAAGAGAGAAAAUUAUCAAAGGCUCAGACAUCUCCUACAGGACCUGUAAUUCAUGAACUUGAUUCGUCAGAACCUGACUUGGAUUCAGAAUAUAUCGUUGAUGAAAUGUUAGAAAAUGAAAAUCCAGCUGUUCACAGUCUGCAGGAACAUGUUGUUUCGUCGAUAGAUGACAGUAUGGACACUGUUCACUUACCAGACACUUCAGUACAGUUAGAAAACGAUAUUCAAAUUAAACAUCGGAGUAGUACGAUGAAGAAACAUUCGAAAGACAAGAAGAAGAGGAAAAACAAGGUGCCUAUAAAAAUUUUAAUUCCACCAUUGGGAAAUGGAGGAAAACCAAGAGAGGAAUUGCAUAUGCUUAACAUACCUACUGUACCAAGAGAGAAGACUAUGACUACUGUGCUGAAAAAAGACUCUGUUGGUUCCAAAACGGUAGUACCAAUGGCAACAGUGCGUAGUUCCAAACUCGCAGCAAUGGCAGCAAACAUGAAUACAACUCAAGAGUUUGAUACCGACACUUCUGCUGAUGUAGAAGACGAUGGAACGGAAGCUGGAGAUGAUGUAUCUAUAGUAAAAUUAGAAGAGUUUCUAAAUGAGCCAGAUAUGGUCACUCGUGAUAACGUCAAAAAUCAAAUCAAAAAUGGUGAAAACAGUAACAGCACCCUUAAUAAAAUGAACAAAGGAUUUAAUCAAACCGACAGCAAAAAUGUGUUUAUGGCCGAUAACUAUGUGCAAAACAGUGAAAAUAAAGCGUCAAAAUGUUCGCAGCAAUGGGGCCAAAGCAGGCAAAAAGCAGGCACAAGCUCAUCCAAAGAUUUAUCUUUAAGCUGUGUCAAUUCCUCUGGAAUGUCUGAAGCUAAUUACAGGUUAGAACCGACGGAAGAAAUGGAUAGUCAUGUGGAGUUGAUACAACAUGACCUAGAUAAUGUACGUGAUAAUUUACGUGAAGUAUUGCGUGAAAACUGCAACUUUGAUGUUAACGCCAUUUGUGAGUUAUUUGGCGACGACUCAUUGGCAUUUGGACUACCAGUUAAUCCAGAAUUGAAUCCACAUUGUGACAAAGAUGAUUACGAUACACUUUCAGAUGGUAAUGGAUCUGCUGGUGGAGAACUUAUGACAUAUAAUCCCUCUACGGGUUUGUUAGAGGCUUUUGAUGACAUGAUCGACGUAAAUACAUCGUCUUCGUGGGUACCACUAUCGCCACCUACAACAUCAGAUUUAUCUGCAAACGAUCUACAUACACAGUUAUCUACACCUAAUCUAUACGCAGACCCUUCAGAUGAUCCUUUAAGUAUAGAAGAUAAUAAGAUUUCUCUUCUUGACUCUCUAGUAAAAACUAACAUGAAUCCAAGUUCAUAAAUAAAUAUAUGGAUUUUUUGCAGGUUGAAAGAGAUCAGUGUUGCAUCCAAUCCUUUGGUUUCAGUAUGUUUUAUUCUGAAUGGAUCAGUACAAACAGUUUCUUUAGUAAGCAGACAAAAAAUUACACACACACACACAUAAAAUUGUUAAAAGAAAUAAAAAAUAGAUCUUGCAAUCACUUGUUGAUUCAUGAAACUUAUAAUGACUAGUUUUUACGCACUUGUAGCAUAAAAUCCUUGGAUUUAUUUGUUUAUCGUAAAACAAUAUGUAAUAUCUGAUAUUAUUUUUGAGAUUCGACAAAUGUCACACAAUUUUUCUUUUGUCUGUACAGAAUUACAAGAUUUUAUGCGUUUCAAUCACAAUAUUUAUAUUGAAUGUUUUCUCAGAAAGGUUAGAAAAACAUCAAAAAUAUAUAUACAGGUUACACAAUAUUAGAGAAGUGAAUAUCUUUAUACAAAUAUUAAUGCAUUCUCUCUGUUUCUCUAUAUUGGCAAAAAUGAUAUCUAAUAUAAUUUUCUGAAACAGGAGUAAGAUUUUUUUAUAUGACAUAUUUACCUCUUUCUAUAUAUUGGUCUUUUGACAUAACAGCAACAUUACAGAUAGAUUUUAUAAUUUUUUCGUUGGAUACUACUCCUGGAUUCUCUUAAUUACUUCCAGGGAAAAAAACGAUACUACGAAGAAUAAGAUAAAUUGUUCCUGCGAUAUUCAAUAUCAGAUUCCGAGAAUGAGAAUAAUAUCUCACACGUAAUAGUUACAUUUUAUUGUGUGACAACGCAAUUAAAAUUUUCAGCUUGCGGAACGAACUACAAUCUAUUAUUAAAAAGAAACAAAUAUAACUUUCUUAAAAGUUAUAUUGGUAAAAUCUUUCUGUUCGUAUUCGAUAUAAAAGUUUGAAUACAAAACCUUUCUUACUUUUGUUUAUGUAUAUAAUAAUGAAAUAAGAUAACAAGUCUAGUUGGACUCCAAUAAACUUGCACGUAAGAAAGUCGUUUCUUCACUUAUAAUAGUUUUAUUCUUUUACUAUUGUUAGUUAUCUCACUGUAUAGUACAAGAUAAAACGCAAAAAGUGAUAUAAAUCGUGCAAGUUAAGAUUUCAGUGUGUUAUAUAAAAUAUAUAAACAUCUCUCGAAUAAUUUAUGUAAUACGAAUAAAAUACAUAAAAAAUUUACAACA